GAUGAACGCUAGCGGCAGGCUUAACACAUGCAAGUCGAGGGGCAGCACGUCUUCGGAUGGUGGCGACCGGCGCACGGGUGCGUAACGCGUAUACAAUCUACCUUUUACAGGGGCAUAGCCCGGGGAAACCCGGAUUAAUAUCCCAUGGUACCAUGAUAUGGCAUCAUAUUAUGGUUAAAGCUUCGGCGGUGAAAGAUGAGUAUGCGUUCUAUUAGCUGGAUGGUAAGGUAACGGCUUACCAUGGCUUUGAUAGAUAGGGGGUCCUGAGAGGGAGAUCCCCCACACUGGUACUGAGACACGGACCAGACUCCUACGGGAGGCAGCAGUGAGGAAUAUUGGACAAUGGGCGAGAGCCUGAUCCAGCCAUGCCGCGUGCAGGAAGACGGCCCUAUGGGUCGUAAACUGCUUUUAUACGGGAAGAAACACUCCCUCGUGAGGGAGCUUGACGGUACCGUAUGAAUAAGGAUCGGCUAACUCCGUGCCAGCAGCCGAC
Molecule: ribosomal RNA, 493 nt
Filed under: uncultured bacterium
Lineage: Bacteria
Description: bacterial SSU rRNA
Rfam family: Bacterial small subunit ribosomal RNA
Source: RNAcentral